GCCAUCAAAGAGAAUACCCAAUG
Molecule: non-coding RNA, 23 nt
Filed under: Arabidopsis thaliana (thale cress)
Lineage: Eukaryota; Viridiplantae; Streptophyta; Magnoliopsida; Brassicales; Brassicaceae
Source: RNAcentral